This is a long non-coding RNA of Notolabrus celidotus (New Zealand spotty), 1112 nucleotides long. RefSeq lists it as uncharacterized. NCBI's taxonomy places the organism in Eukaryota, Metazoa, Chordata, Actinopteri, Labriformes, Labridae. The record is from RefSeq and is a predicted model, not a curated record. The transcript has 3 exons.
GAGAAAUGUUUGUGGACGGCAGUUUUGGAGGGAAGAGGAGGUCAGAAGAUCCUUGAAAAGGAAAGAAAAGGAAAUUCUUUGUGCUGUUCUUUUAUGGUGUUCUCUCCUCCACAAGGCACUGGAUAAUGAUUUUUUUUGUGCUUUGGAAGACCGUGACAAUUGAGCCUUCAGGAGGAUUCUCAGUGCCGGACUUUAUGAAGAAUUCAAGAACCAGAACCACUGAUCGUGGGAGUGUUGCAUUGGCCAGUGGAGCCAAAUUUUUGAAGGUCCAGCUCAGAUUUCUGAUCUCCUGCACAGAUGGAAGAUACCUCAUGGGUUUCAGCCUUGGGAUGCCGAUCAUGAGCUUCACCCAUCGCCAAAGGCCUCAACCAAGGCUCCAGAGCUGGGAAGUCAGCCAGUAGGUCGUUGGGCUCCUGCUGUGCUGGGGAUGCUGCUGGUAUGUUGGUUUUCAAGCUUGCCCAAGGUGCUUCUGCUUUGCCUUGGACCCAAGCCUGUGCAUGGGCGGUCAAGCCGUGUGGUAGUGGGGAUGUCACUUGGACCGAAUGAAAGGGGAAUCUCCCACUGGCCCAGCAUCUUCCCUGAGGCUGAAGGCUCUGUGGGACAUGGUUGAAUGCCAGCCUUAACAGGCUGAAGAAAGACCGGGAUAGGCCAACAAAAUAUUGGUAUUACCUUAAUGUUUUUGGUGUUAACAGGGAUGGACAAGACCACAGGAAACUGACACAGGAGAAUUUCUCGCCUCUAAAGUCAUGAUCCUCCCCACAUUUCUUUGGCCCUUUGCCUCCUCCUCAUCUCGUUUCAUCUGUCCCUCCAUCACAAGGCUCAGUAUCCUUGAAGGCUUUACAACAUGUCUGUGGCCUGAGAGAUAAGGGUUAGGAAGGGUGAUGUCAGUGGUCCUUCUCAAACGGUGUGUACAGACCCAAAUCAUCCGUCUUUUUCUGCUGCUCCUCAGUCCUACAGGGGGAGGAGAGAGGGACACAAACAUGUGAGUGUGGCCCGGUUAACACAUCUUUUAAACAAGACAGUCCAUCAAACAAAAAUGCUAUUACAAGGUUAGCUUGCUCCUGCUGUCUUGUACUCAACAAUUUUCUUGUGAAGAGAGUAAAACCCGGAGA